Paramisgurnus dabryanus is the source of this 2829-nucleotide long non-coding RNA. RefSeq lists it as uncharacterized. NCBI's taxonomy places the organism in Eukaryota, Metazoa, Chordata, Actinopteri, Cypriniformes, Cobitidae. The record is from RefSeq and is a predicted model, not a curated record.
UAUGCACAUGAAAUUAAACUUGUUGAACUCACCUCAACAUGUAUUUUACAAUCAUUUAACCCGCCAUGGGAAAAGCUGAAGUCACUGUUACAAACUCUACACCAUGCAAGAUUUUAACUCUUUUAAGACAGGGAUACACUUUCGUGUAGUCUAGUGUAAAAUGUGUCUUAUAUUUUCGCUUUUGGGGCACUCUCCCUCUGCCAUGGCGCUCCUGUUUCUAGAUACACUGAUUAGUUUGGUUCGGGAGAAGAGAUAAAAGCCCGCCCACACUGACAAUUGAUUGGUUGAUGUCCUGAAACAGGCCAAUCAGGAUGCUCUCUGUCUUACAUGCGCUAAAUGAGGCAAACACACACACAGACGCAAGGUCUCCCUCUCUGCCGUGCACGCGCUAAAUUUCAUAUUCACAUAGCUUUUCGAAAACCGGGACAUUCAGUGUCCCGGGAGAGUUGAUAAAUUUCCCGGGACAGGUUAUUAAAAAGAAGGACAAUCCCGGUAAAACCGGGACAGGUGGCAACCCUAAAACCUUUAUUUUAGUAAACUCCGUGUAUACAAACAAUGUUCUCAAUGCUCGCGUUCAUGUGUAGAGAUCCAGGUGAUACUUCAAGCAAAGUUUCAUGUUGUGUCGCGCCUUCUUAUGUUGUAAAAUAGUGGUAUUUCGGUAGCGGCGGACAGCGGCUGGAAGAACGCAUCAGGGAUCGAGUAGGCAUCACACCCUAACCAAGAUAUAUUUUUUUAAAGUAGCGUUUAUUUUCAUGACAGUCGAGAUGCGACAUGUUGUCUUUCGUAGCCCUUUACUGUAUCCCUAAUGGAGUUGGACAAAGCUACGAUAAAACCUGUUGGAAUGCGUCUUUUGCAGCGAUUUUUGUGUGAGCAUAUCAGUGAACACCCCUGACCACUCGAAAAUGUAUCAAUCAGCAACAUCAAACAGACCAUCAGAUGAGGCAAAGCGUCUGGAAGGUCCGAACCUAAGAAGGAGGUAACCUGCAACCUCCAGUGUCUCUGCACCUCCACCUACAAUCUGUAGUGUUACAAGGUCACAAAAAACAAAUGUGGAAAAUGAACACUUCCAAGUCUUUGGGGCUGUGCUGACAGCUGAAGAGGGACAUGGCCUGCACCCCAUGGCAGCUGACCUGAUGAAACGCUACCGGGAGGCAGGAGAGCCCCAAAAGUGAUGUAGGUGAACAGAGAUUGCUGCAGUCAGCACGGCAAGUCUCAGGAAUUCGUGCCAGUGAUGAACAUUUUCCUUGAGGGCUUGACGCAAUGGAAUGACAACCGGAUGGAAGAUGCAAUUAAAGGAGCAUCCUGCAUCUGGUCAUAUACUGUAGCAGUGCUAUGAGAGAGGCGGUGGACCAGCUUUGCCUUUGUCUUGGGAGGUCCUGGGAUGAGCGCUAUCACCCUCCUGUGGCAAAUUAAAUUCAUUUAAUUUCUUCUUCUGUAAUAUUCUACUAAGUUAUCUAUUUAGCAUUUGAUGCACUAGACAAAUUGUUAAAAAGGCUUUGUUUUUUAGGGCCCAAGCACCGAGACAACCUUUCUCACCCUCUGUUAGGUCUGUUGCUUCAGCCAAAGGACGGAGAACACAACCUAAAUCCAUUCACGAACAGAAAAAUUAAUCUGCUUGAAUACACCUUUAUCAGUCGGCACCAUGUGAUUCUAAAAUGAAGCUGUGAGUCUCCUCUUCCCAGGUCACAUCCUCCCAUAGACUCUCAUCAUCUAAGUUUGCAUCUUUCACAUCACUGUGCUGCUGCUCCUGUGAUUCAUCACCACCUUGGAUGAGGCCGAUGACUGUGGUGUGACAACACACUUCAAGAGUUUGAUGGAGGGGUGUUUUAAAAUCGUUGAUGUUAAGGGAGAAGAGAAGUGGAGACCGCACACAGCCCUGAGGAGCACCUGUGCUGAUGGUGCUGGAGUGUGGUACUCUGACUGGACUUCAGAAAAUAGGAAAUCUCAUCGGUUCCUAACUCCCAAGUCCGGAGGACAAUUACAGGGCACGUUCCACCCAGAAAGGUCACAGCAAUUUACACCCUGGCCACAACAUGUUCACCCCGUGACAUCUGGCAAACGAUAGUAUUGUACAGAGAUUAUACCAGAUCCAGUCUGGAUUCCACCUCCAUCAGAUGACCCAACACAUAUGGAACGAUGACACCGGCACUUCCAAGGACUUCAGACAACACCAGCGCUGGACUAUAAACUGACUAAUCUAUGAUUUUUUUUUUCAGUUUAAGAUAUUUGCUGAAUGUUACUCUAAUGCAUACAUAUAUAAAAUCGAACUAAUACAUAUGCAUUUUAUACACUAUAAAUGUUAAAACAUGUAACAAUAAAUCCAAUCUGAAUUUGAGGUUUAGAUCACAUUUAUAUGAUUUCUAUCUUUUACAUCUUCAGUUCUUUUUUAAUUUAGAUUUAAUAAUUGGUACUUUAGUUGAUCACUAAAUUACAUCAAUGGAAUAUGCAACAAUGAAUAAUAUGAAUAUUAUAUUUAUAUUAACAAGUGUAAUGUAAUGUAUGCAUAUUAACGUCAGGACAUUACUGUCAUAUUCAUUUUUUUUUUUUUUUUAGGUAUUUUGUCUUGUCUGGUUUAAAUCUUCAAAUACAGCCUCUCUUUCCCAGACAUGUCCUCUUUUUGGACCUUAAUUGGGAUAGUUAAACCAAAAAUGAAGAUUUUGUCAUCAUUUUCUCCUCCUCAUGUUGUUCUAAACCUGUAUGAAUGGGAGUAUGAAAGAUCUGACACAAAGUAAUGUAUUCCCACGUUUUUUUUUGUGGGUGAUGUUAAUAAUAUUUAGUUCACUCCAAAAUGAGUCAUUAUUGUCAUUAAAAUAUUGCCAUAUUGCUGUG